GAUUCGUCACACUAUCAUUAACUGAAUCCAUAGGUUAAUGAGGCGAACCGGGGGAACUGAAACAUCUAAGUACCCCGAGGAAAAGAAAUCAACCGAGAUUCCCCCAGUAGCGGCGAGCGAACGGGGAGGAGCCCAGAGCCUGAAUCAGCAUGUGUGUUAGUGGAAGCGUCUGGAAAGGCGCGCGAUACAGGGUGACAGCCCCGUACACAAAAGCGCAUGUGCUGUGAGCUCGAUGAGUAGGGCGGGACACGUGGUAUCCUGUCUGAAUAUGGGGGGACCAUCCUCCAAGGCUAAAUACUCCUGACUGACCGAUAGUGAACCAGUACCGUGAGGGAAAGGCGAAAAGAACCCCGGCGAGGGGAGUGAAAAAGAACCUGAAACCGUGUACGUACAAGCAGUGGGAGCCCCACCACUAAGCCAGUGGUGAACUCCACAUCCGCAUCCUUUGCUGAGGAUACGGUUAACGGAGCGAAAGCGACGUUCAACCGCAAAACAAGCAGAGGGGGCUUAGUGGUGGGGUGACUGCGUACCUUUUGUAUAAUGGGUCAGCGACUUAUAUUCUGUAGCAAGGUUAACCGUAUAGGGGAGCCGGAGGGAAACCGAGUCUUAACCGGGCGUUAAGUUGCAGGGUAUAGACCCGAAACCCGGUGAUCUAGCCAUGGGCAGGUUGAAGGUUGGGUAACACUAACUGGAGGACCGAACCGACUAAUGUUGAAAAAUUAGCGGAUGACCUGUGGCUGGGGGUGAAAGGCCAAUCAAACCGGGAGAUAGCUGGUUCUCCCCGAAAGCUAUUUAGGUAGCGCCUCGUGAAUUCAUCUCCGGGGGUAGAGCACUGUUUCGGCUAGGGGGCCAUCCCGGCUUACCAACCCGAUGCAAACUGCGAAUACCGGAGAAUGUUAUCACGGGAGACACACGGCGGGUGCUAACGUCCGUCGUGAAGAGGGAAACAACCCAGACCGCCAGCUAAGGUCCCAAAGUCAUGGUUAAGUGGGAAACGAUGUGGGAAGGCCCAGACAGCCAGGAUGUUGGCUUAGAAGCAGCCAUCAUUUAAAGAAAGCGUAAUAGCUCACUGGUCGAGUCGGCCUGCGCGGAAGAUGUAACGGGGCUAAACCAUGCACCGAAGCUGCGGCAGCGAACGUAUCACCCAAGACAACUUUACGGAGUUGACGAUUGACGGAGCGAAGCGACGUCAAAGCGUUCAUUAAAGUCGAGUUGGCUUAGGGAUACGUUCGUUGGGUAGGGGAGCGUUCUGUAAGCCUGUGAAGGUGUGUCGUGAGGCAUGCUGGAGGUAUCAGAAGUGCGAAUGCUGACAUAAGUAACGAUAAAGCGGGUGAAAAGCCCGCUCGCCGGAAGACCAAGGGUUCCUGUCCAACGUUAAUCGGGGCAGGGUGAGUCGACCCCUAAGGCGAGGCCGAAAGGCGUAGUCGAUGGGAAACGGGUUAAUAUUCCCGUACUUGGUGUUACUGCGAAGGGGGGACGGAGAAGGCUAUGUUGGCCGGGCGACGGUUGUCCCGGUUUAAGCGUGUAGGUGUGUGUUCCAGGUAAAUCCGGUUCACUUUAACACUGAGGCGUGACGACGAGGCACUACGGUGCUGAAGCAACAAAUGCCCUGCUUCCAGGAAAA
RNAcentral lists this ribosomal RNA (1624 nucleotides) under Salmonella enterica subsp. enterica serovar Typhimurium. RNAcentral describes it as "partial 23S ribosomal RNA". It matches the Rfam family "Bacterial large subunit ribosomal RNA", at positions 137 to 1616 of the family's 2925-position model. The record is from RNAcentral. Lineage: Bacteria; Pseudomonadati; Pseudomonadota; Gammaproteobacteria; Enterobacterales; Enterobacteriaceae.